Molecule: ribosomal RNA, 920 nt
Filed under: uncultured Green Bay ferromanganous micronodule archaeon ARF3
Lineage: Archaea; Methanobacteriati; Methanobacteriota
Description: bacterial SSU rRNA
Rfam family: Archaeal small subunit ribosomal RNA
Source: RNAcentral
UUCCGGUUGAUCCUGCCAGAGGUUACUGCUAUCGGUGUUCGCCUAAGCCAUGCGAGUCAUAUGUUCUUCGUGAACAUGGCGUACUGCUCAGUAACACGUGGAUAACCUGCCCUUGGGUCCGGCAUAACCCCGGGAAACUGGGGAUAAUUCCGGAUAACGCAUAUAUGCUGGAAUGCUUUAUACGUCAAAUGGAUUCGUCUGCCCAAGGAUGGGUCUGCGGCCUAUCAGGUAGUAGUGGGUGUAAUGUACCUACUAGCCGACGACGGGUACGGGUUGUGAGAGCAAGAGCCCGGAGAUGGAUUCUGAGACAUGAAUCCAGGCCCUACGGGGCGCAGCAGGCGCGAAAACUUUACAAUGCGGGAAACCGUGAUAAGGGGACACCGAGUGCCAGCAUCAUAUGCUGGCUGUCCGGGUGUGUAAAAUACACCUGUUAGCAAGGGCCGGGCAAGACCGGUGCCAGCCGCCGCGGUAACACCGGCGGCCCGAGUGGUGAUCGUGAUUAUUGGGUCUAAAGGGUCCGUAGCCGGUUUGGUCAGUCCUCCGGGAAAUCUGACGGCUUAACCGUUAGGCUUUCGGAGGAUACUGCCAGGCUUGGAACCGGGAGAGGUAAGAGGUACUACAGGGGUAGGAGUGAAAUCUUGUAAUCCCUGUGGGACCACCUGUGGCGAAGGCGUCUUACCAGAACGGGUUCGACGGUGAGGGACGAAAGCUGGGGGCACGAACCGGAUUAGAUACCCGGGUAGUCCCAGCCGUAAACGAUGCUCGCUAGGUGUCAGGCAUGGCGCGACCGUGUCUGGUGCCGUAGGGAAGCCGUGAAGCGAGCCACCUGGGAAGUACGGCCGCAAGGCUGAAACUUAAAGGAAUUGGCGGGGGAGCACAACAACGGUUGGGGCUGCGGUUUAAUUGGAGUCAACGCCGGA